ACCAAUCACAACAGCAGCUCAACACCACUGUGUUAUAGUAAUGUAGUAUAAACUGUAUGAAACUUUAACAGACUCUGUUUCUGUUUAGCGUGUUGGAGUUUUUAUACUGGUUUUCUAUCUAGUGAUUCUCAGUGAGCUGGAACUGAACUUUCAGAGCUGAUUAAACUUCACUCCAAGUUUCUCAGUUUCAUCACUCUGGGUAGGUUGAGGAUGUGGAUCAGGACAGCAGUGUUAUGAUACAAUCCAUGUUGAGGAGCUGUAAAACUGCAGCUGACUUUUACCCCUACAAGCUUUAUUUCACCCGUAUCAGCGACAGGACUGUAGGAAAACACAGCGGCCCAUAAAAACCCAAUAAAGCCGCCAGACCACAGGAGAGACGCUGAAGUCCGGAACAGUUUAAAACACCAAAGAGGGACGAAGUGAGUUCAGCUUCAUUUUACUGAGCUGUCUCUCAGGUUUAUUAGAUUCCCAUAAAUUCAAAAAAGACAUUUUUCUGCUGCAGUGUCAGAAUAAAUCUGUGUCCCAAAUCACAUACACUGAUCUCAUACUAAAGAAUAUUUAUUAUGAAGUACACUCACCCUGAUCAGUGAGAUCAGAACCUCUCCCACUGUUCUGGAGAAUCAGUCAAAACAGCACAAACAGGAGACUCCACUGAAUCAGGUGGAACAGGAGAAAUAGUCAAAUCAGGAGAAUUAGUUCAAUCAGGAUAAUCAGAGACUUGGCUGAAUCAGUUGAAUCAUAAGCAACAGACAAAACUGGAAACUCAGCAGGUCCAGGAGGAUUAGAUAAAUAAGGAGAAUCUGUAGAAUAUUUUUUAAUCUUCAAGUCAAACCAAACGAAUAAGAAGAGACAGUAGAAUCAAGAAAGCCUAGAGAAUCAGAAGGAUCAGUCUAAUCAGGAAAGUAAGAAGAAUCAUGAUGAUAUGAAGAAUCAGUAGGAUCGGGAGAAUCGGCAUCAUAAGACUGACAAAGAAAAUGAGUUGAAUCAGGAUAAUACAUUAAAUCAGGAUAAAUCAGGAAACUCAAAAAGAAGGACUCUUUUAAUCAAUUUAAUUUAUAGGAAUCAGUUAACUUAGGAGAAUCAAAACAAUCAGUCGAAUCAGAUUAAUCAAGAUGAAAAAAUAAUUAUUUAAAUCAGUCAAUGUUGUACAUAUUAUGUCUUCUUUAACUUUGUUUGUACCUUUAACCUGUAAAACUCAAGUCCACUUCAUUGUUAGACAACUGUAAAACUCACAAAUCAGUUGACUAGCAGGGUGGAGUUUUAUUUCUAAUGUUUAUACGAUUCAGGGCAGUCAUUCCUUUGUGAAUGGAAAGCUCUUCAAAUACAGGUCCACACUAUACAGGAUUUUGCUCUGAUUUUCUUUCUUACUUGAAUAUCUAUAAAUCAUGUCUGUAUAAGCAGUCAGGUGAUUCAUUAUUUAAAAUGAUUCACUAAAAUGAUUCAGUAUAACUUAGAUUUAAUACUAACAUAAAAAGCAGAAAUGAUUUAUUUCAGAUAUUAGAGCACUGAUUGAUUCUCUCUUUGUUAGUGUAUUAUGGUAUAGUGUGAUGAGUUUUAACCGAUCAUACAGCAUGUGUGCUACAGUAGAGGUACACGUGUACUCUGCUUGUGUGGUCUACAACAUGCAUGUGGAACAAGAGGUCAGAGGUGAUGCUGACGCAACCGUUUAGCACCUGUUAGCACCAGUGGCGCAUGAACAUUGUCUGCAUUUUUCCAAGGACGAGUUCAAAGAGGAUUCAAAGAUGUGAUCGUGUUCGAAAACAAUGCUAUUGUUUUGAUAACUGAACAAAAUAUAAUCGUCCUUCACUUCCUGUGAAGAGAGAGAGAGAGAAAACAAUCAAAUAAAUACACUAAUAAUGAUGAGAGAAAAUUAAAAGAGGAAAAGAGUAGCAUGUUUAAACUUAAUAAUAAGAGUAGCUAGCAUGUAGCUGUUCAUGCGAAAGUUUCUCAUGAACAGCUACAGUACAUGCUAGUUGCUAGCAUGCCAUAGCUAGCAUAAACCUUAUUAUUCUCAGUUAUUAUAGCUAGCUUAUUCUCAGGGGAUGUUAACAACUGUUAGUCAGUUGUCGAGCAACAGGGUUCUUAUUUCCCCAAAGUCAUCUCUCAGCACAGUGCAUGGUGUUCAUGUGGGAUCAUUUGCUUAGGUUUUCAGGGUCAUAUGUUUAUAUUUCUGCUCUAAUACUGUCUCUGCCAAUUUCUUAUCACUGGUGUAUUUCCUGCUCUGUGUUUAGUGUUUUAUUCAUUUGUCAUUGUAUUCCCUGCUGUUUCUGAGUUUCUGUGUGUAGAUUGUAAAUUUCUCAGUUUCUGUGUGAACUUUUGUAAUUGUGUGUUUUUUCACAUUCUGUUGUUUUAUCGUAGAUCUCGUACUUCUUCUUGGCUUUGAUCCUCUAUUUAUUUCUCAUUUAAUUGUUACGGAUUACUCAUAUUUAAUGCUGUAUUCCUGAGCUUUGGACCCAGCUUUGAAAAUACAGAAUGGCCUGAGUUUACACUCGUGAAUCUUUAGCGUCUGGACUCCUCAUGCUGAGAAGAGGACAUUUCCCAGUUUGUGAUGUUUGGAGUGUAAGGUUUUGGCUAAAAACUCAUUUGGCGGAAAAGUUUCUGCAAACCUAGAGGAAUUUCACUGUUUAGCACACUGGGGGGAAUAACACACUGCACAGAGAGGUCACAUUGACACACAAUACAAAAAAUAAAGAAAUAAAAUGAACAUAUCAAAUGCAUAAUUAGUGCAGAGCUACAUUAGUAGCUCACUGAUUGCACAAAGUGCUGAGUCUGGAGAAGGAAUUUAGCCACGCAGUAGAGUGUUACACAUUAAUCCCUCUAUUCUGUGUGUGUGUGUGUGUGUGUGUGUGUGUGUGUGUGUGUGUGUGUGUGUGUGUGUGUGUGUGUGUGUGUGUGUGUGUGUGUGUGUGUGUGUGGUUUGUUAAUCUCACACUACCAAUUAUCCCAGCAGGCUUUGGCUCUGACCCACUGGCUGUGAAGCUCUGAGCCACAUUGAGCUUUUGUUCUUUGUGAUAACACACAAGUUGAUAUAAAAAUAAAUAGAUAAAACACACACAAGCCAUAAUAACAUGCUAACAGUCACUGAUAAAACAUACAUCUGUUCAUCUUUUUGUUAGAAGCUUCAUGUGUAGAGUGAAAUAUUAAUUUUCUCCAUGGUUAAAGGUGUAUUAAAUUGCAUUACAUAAGCGCUUUCGCUACAUGUUUAGCAUUGGAAGUGCAGUAACAUUAGAUUUGCUAAUUAAUUCAGCAUCAAUUUCUAGAAAUAAUUAAGAACUGUUUGGUUUAUCGGACUGUUUCACUAAAUGCCGCUGAAUUUUGGAUUCUGAAUAGUCAUCAGGUGAUGGUUUUUUAAACAGAUGCACUGCUCUGCUCUAUUUACAGACCAUACUUCACCUGGACAUUCUAAGGACACUUUAACUCUGGACUUGCACAGCACAGUGCCACUUUAUACACUAUUUACACACCAUACUGCACCUGGACACUUUAAGGACAAUCUUUAAAAACCAUACACAUUUAUGUAUAUGUAUA
Long non-coding RNA from Tachysurus fulvidraco (yellow catfish), 3528 nucleotides. RefSeq lists it as uncharacterized. The transcript has 3 exons. The record is from RefSeq and is a predicted model, not a curated record. Lineage: Eukaryota; Metazoa; Chordata; Actinopteri; Siluriformes; Bagridae.